CUGAGCGCAAUGGGAUCCCCAUUGGUCCACAGGCUGCAUCAAGCUGGCUCUAUGUUUAUCCUAGAGGACUUCGGGAUCUUUUGCUUUAUGUCAAGGAGAAGUACCAUAAUCCGCUAAUCUAUAUUACCGAGAACGGAAUUGAUGAGUCCAAUAACGCCACCUUGUCUCUUGAGGAAGCCCUCAUCGACAAACCCAGAAUUGAAUAUUACUAUGGCCAUCUUUUUUAUCUUCGUAGGGCUAUCAUG
This is a long non-coding RNA of Alnus glutinosa, 245 nucleotides long. RefSeq lists it as uncharacterized. The record is from RefSeq and is a predicted model, not a curated record. The transcript has 3 exons. Lineage: Eukaryota; Viridiplantae; Streptophyta; Magnoliopsida; Fagales; Betulaceae.